Molecule: unclassified non-coding RNA, 236 nt
Filed under: plant metagenome
Description: partial contains small subunit ribosomal RNA, internal transcribed spacer 1, and 5.8S ribosomal RNA
Source: RNAcentral
UUUCCGUAGGUGAACCUGCGGAAGGAUCAUUACCGAGUGAGGGCCCUCUGGGUCCAACCUCCCACCCGUGUUUGUCGUACCUUGUUGCUUCGGCGGGCCCGCCUCACGGCCGCCGGGGGGCACCCGCCCCCGGGCCCGCGCCCGCCGAAGACACCAUUGAACGCUGUCUGAAGAUUGCAGUCUGAGCAUCUUAGCUAAAUCAGUUAAAACUUUCAACAACGGAUCUCUUGGUUCCG